RNAcentral lists this long non-coding RNA (268 nucleotides) under Erythranthe guttata (spotted monkey flower). RNAcentral's name for it is "long non-coding RNA (EGUT_LNC003662)". The record is from RNAcentral. Lineage: Eukaryota; Viridiplantae; Streptophyta; Magnoliopsida; Lamiales; Phrymaceae.
GUGUGUGUGUGAAUAUGUGUAAUUGUGAAACUUGAGAUAUUAAACUACACAAGUUGAGAUAUUAAACCCUAAAAGUUGAGAUAUUCAACCUCAUAAGUUGAAUUAAAGAUGCAAUGAAUCCAUGUGGAUCCAAUCCGGAUCGGUCUAAACUCGAUCCACAUUAAAUCUAUUCAUGUAGGUUGAUAUUGGAUCCGGUUUCUUUUGCAUCCGAUCCACAUGGAUCCGGAUCGGAUCCGGUCCAAGUUGAGAAAUUGCCACCCCUAGUUUU